Molecule: ribosomal RNA, 477 nt
Filed under: uncultured bacterium
Lineage: Bacteria
Description: partial 16S ribosomal RNA
Rfam family: Bacterial small subunit ribosomal RNA
Source: RNAcentral
UAGGGAAUCUUCCACAAUGGACGCAAGUCUGAUGGAGCAACGCCGCGUGAGUGAAGAAGGCUUUCGGGUCGUAAAACUCUGUUGUUGGAGAAGAAUGGUCGGCAGAGUAACUGUUGUCGGCGUGACGGUAUCCAACCAGAAAGCCACGGCUAACUACGUGCCAGCAGCCGCGGUAAUACGUAGGUGGCAAGCGUUAUCCGGAUUUAUUGGGCGUAAAGCGAGCGCAGGCGGUUUUUUAAGUCUGAUGUGAAAGCCCUCGGCUUAACCGAGGAAGCGCAUCGGAAACUGGGAAACUUGAGUGCAGAAGAGGACAGUGGAACUCCAUGUGUAGCGGUGAAAUGCGUAGAUAUAUGGAAGAACACCAGUGGCGAAGGCGGCUGUCUGGUCUGUAACUGACGCUGAGGCUCGAAAGCAUGGGUAGCGAACAGGAUUAGAUACCCUGGUAGUCCAUGCCGUAAAACGAUGAAUGCUAGGUGU